UUAUUUUCUUAACAGAUGGGCUGGAGGCUCUGGGCCCAGGUGACAUGGGCUGGUGAGGCAGGAUGAACCUGGUUCCAGGAAGCUGAGGCAGCAGCUCAGGACUGGAGUCUGGGGGCCUCCCUGUGGCUGCCCGCAGAGUCCCCACCAUCCCUGGAUUCUUCCUCUGUCGUUCAGGAUCUCUGAGGGUCAAAGCAGAUCCAGAAGAGAAAAACGGAGAUUGUCCCCAGGGAUUCAACUGUCUUCUUCAGUCCACCUGGCCUGGUUGAGGCACCAGUCUGCUCAGGCAGGAGAGAGAGGCUGGACUGCUCUUGGUGCCUGAGAAGCAGGACUAGAGCGAGGCCUGGCAAGUCCCUGAACCAGCCUGCUGCAGACAUGCUCCCUGGGCCCCGGGCCAGGGGCUUUGGCCCAGCACCGAAUCAGCAGCAGCUCCUUACGUGGGAGGCUCUCAUGUUCUCCCUCUCAGUUCUCAAAAAAAUUCUUUUUCCCCUUUCUGAACGUGAGUCUCUAAACAAAUCCAGAGGCUGUGACUAAAAAUACUUUAACAAUAGGAAAGUGCAUCAGUCUUUCCGGUUGGAGCUUGUUAUCAGAGGGUUUUUAUUUUGGAAUUUGAAGUUUUGCCCAUGGAGGCUUGGGUGGAGACCUUGGGUUGGGGCAGGGAAUUUGGUGGGUGUUGAUAGUCUGCAGGGUUCUGGGAGACCCUCCAAGGGGUGAGAUGCCAGGAGCUGAACAGACUGAGGCAUAAAAAGGUUGGCAGUCUGAGGAGUGUCGGGGCAUGGGGCAACCUUUCUCAGAGGAACUCUUGUCUAUGCUUUCUAGCUCUGAAUGGCUGUUUUUCCUAAAGUCUGACCUUAUUUCUAUGUGCUGUAUGUUAAGGAGGUGGGGUAGAGAAAUGACUGCUCUGAAGAUAGCCUCUGUGGCCAUACCCUGACUUCAGCUUUCACCAGAGCAUUAAUUGAGUACUUGCUGCAUACAGAGCCUGGAAUUUUCCCAGUACUGGGUAGAAAUUCAUCUGGGCACACUCUUAUUUCCUUUCACUUAGCCGUGAGGGAGAGAAGUGGGGAUGAGGUUACUGUUUAUCUCUAACUGCUGACUGCCCAGUCUAGCUGAGGUCCUUGGUGUGUUCUGUCCUUCCCUGCCUUCCCUGCUAGUACUGGGAUUCUGCUGCAGGUCCCUGGAGUCCAGGACCCUGACAGCACUCCGUUUCAAUGUUGAGAAUCUCCCUUGCAUUAUUAGUGAAUUCACUUCUCCUGCUACCGUGACUUACCAUGUUUUCUGCACUGGGCAGAUGAGGAAAGAGUCUUGGAGGUGGCAAGGGAUUGACCUUAGGUCACACAACAGGCUUGCUAGCCUCUGGUAUAAGAUACUUCUGAUAGCUCUUUCACCUUUUGCCCCUGACAAGAGCCGUUGUGUGUGGAGGGAGUAGUGGCUAACCUGCCUGCAUCCUUGGGAGCCUGUUUUGUGGGGAGGUGACCACAUGUGUGGGCAUGGCAGGGCUUGGGAGAGGGCCAGGAGAUCAGAGCCAGAGGUCUCG
This 1531-nucleotide long non-coding RNA is filed under the name Marmota marmota marmota (Alpine marmot). RNAcentral's name for it is "lncRNA (ENSMMMG00000000846.1)". The record is from RNAcentral. Lineage: Eukaryota; Metazoa; Chordata; Mammalia; Rodentia; Sciuridae.